AGAGUUUGAUCCUGGCUCAGGAUGAACGCUGGCGGCGUGCUUAAUACAUGCAAGUCGAACGGAAGAGGUAGCAAUACUAAAUUAGUGGCGAACGGGUGAGUAACGCGUUGGUGACCCGCCCCAGAUCGAGGGAUAACAGUUCGAGAGGACUGCUAAUACCGCAUGAAAUUACGGAAGUUAGGUUACCGUAAUGAAAGGAGCGAUCCGAUAUGGGAGGGGCCUGCGUCCCAUCAGCUAGUUGGUGAGGUAAAAGCCCACCAAGGCGACGACGGGUAGGGGGCCUGAGAGGGUGACCCCCCACACUGGCACUGAAACACGGGCCAGACACCUACGGGUGGCAGCAGUAGGGAAUAUUGGUCAAUGGGCGAAAGCCUGAACCAGCAACGCCGCGUGCACGAUGAAGGCCUUCGGGUCGUAAAGUGCUUUUCGGGGAGACGAGGAAGGACGGUAUCCCCGGAAUAAGGAUCGGCUAACUACGUGCCAGCAGCCGCGGUAAAACGUAGGAUCCGAGCGUUAUCCGAAUUCACUGGGCGUAAAGCGCGUGUAGGCGGUUUGGUAAGUUGGAUGUAAAAUCUCCUGGCUCAAUUGGGAGGGGACGUACAAUACUGUCAGACUAGAGGACGGCAGAGGAAGGUGGAAUUCCCGGUGUAGUGGUGAAAUGCGUAGAUAUCGGGAGGAACACCAGUGGCGAAGGCGGCCUUCUGGGCCGAUCCUGACGCUCAGACGCGAAAGCUAGGGGAGCAAACGGGACUAGAAACCCCGGUAGUCCUAGCCGUAAACGAUGUAGACAUGGUGUCGGGGGUGUAAAAACCGUCGGUGCCGAAGCAAACGCGAUAAGUCUACCGCCUGGGGACUACGGCCGCAAGGUUAAAACUCAAAGGAAUUGACGGGGGCCCGCACAAGCAGCGGAGCGCGUGGUUUAAUUCGAUGCUACGCGAAGAGCCUUACCCGGGUUUGACAUGCAGGUAGUAGGGAACUGAAAAGGGACCGACCCUUCGGGGAGCCUGCACAGGUGCUGCAUGGCUGUCGUCAGCUCGUGUCGUGAGAUGUCCGGUUAAGUCCGGUAACGAGCGCAACCCACGUCGUAUGUUACAAGUGUCAUACGAGACUGCUGGUAUAAAGCCGGAGGAAGGUGUGGACGACGUCAAGUCAGCAUGGCCUUUAUGUCCGGGGCUACACACACGCUACAAUGGCCGGUACAAUGGGUAGCAAAGCCGCGAGGUGGAGCCAAUCCUCAAAGCCGGUCUCAGUUCAGAUUGUAGGCUGCAACUCGCCUACAUGAAGUCGGAGUUGCUAGUAACCGCGCGUCAGCAUUAGUGCGGUGAAUACGUUCCCGGGCCUUGUACACACCGCCCGUCACGUCAUGGGAGCUGGCAACACCUGAAGCCGGUAUCCUAACCGCAAGGAAGGAGCCGUCGAAGGUGGGGCUGGUGACUGGGACGAAGUCGUAACAAGGUA
This 1458-nucleotide ribosomal RNA is filed under the name metagenome. RNAcentral's name for it is "bacterial SSU rRNA". It matches the Rfam family "Bacterial small subunit ribosomal RNA". The record is from RNAcentral.